This 504-nucleotide ribosomal RNA is filed under the name Triticum aestivum (bread wheat). Its description in RNAcentral is "partial small subunit ribosomal RNA". The record is from RNAcentral. Lineage: Eukaryota; Viridiplantae; Streptophyta; Magnoliopsida; Poales; Poaceae.
GCGAAGGAAAUUUGGGACACUUUGAUUGAUAUGCACGAAGGUACCGACUUCGUCAGGGAAUCCAAGUUGGAUGUGCUUCAAAGCCAACUUGACAAGUUCAAUAUGAAGGAUGGUGAAGGUGUCGCUGAAAUGUACUCUAGGCUUGCUCUCAUCACAAAUGAGAUUGCCGGCUUAGGAAGUGAAGAGAUGACCGACAGAUUCAUCAUCAAGAAGAUUCUUAGAGCCUUGGAUGGAAAAUAUGAUACCGUGUGCACAUUGAUCCAAAUGAUGCCCAAUUACAAAGAUCUCAAGCCAACGGAGGUGAUUGGAAGAAUUGUUGCUCAUGAGAUGUCACUUAAGGAUAAAGAGGAACUUCACAACAAAUCAAGUGGUGCCUAUAAAGCCUCAUGUGAAGCCCCUACAUCAUCAAGUGAGAAACAAGACUUCAAUGAAGAAUUGAGCUUAAUGGUGAAGAACUUCAACAAGUUCUACAAGAGUAGAAGCAAAGAUAGAAGCUUCAAGUCA